AAGAUUAGCCCUGAAGCUAUCUACUGCCAGUCCUCCUCUUUUUUGCUGAGGAAGCCUGGCCCUGAGCUAACAUCCGUGCCCAUCUUCCUCUACUUUCUAUGUGGGAUGCCUACCACAGCAUGGUGUUCCAAGCGAUGCCAUGUCCACACCCGGGAUCCAAACCAGCGAACCUCGGGCAGCUGAGAAGCGAACGUGCGAACUUAACCGCUGCGCCGCCGGGCCAGCCCCAAUAAUCUGCAUUUCUAAUAGGUCCCCAGGUGAGGCUGCUGGUCCGCUGACAACACUUUGAGAACCGCGGCCUUAGAGAGAAGAACAUCUUCCAGAAACAGGUCUGGAUCUCAAGGGUUCUACCAAUAAACUUCUCGCACACAAAUUUCCGUGUUUCCAGAGAAUGCUUCUUGAAGAACUCAACCUAAGACAAAAGGAGUAUGGACUGACCACAUUUAUUAACUUUAUUUUACUUUUUUUGAGACAGUGCUUUAGAGUGGAAAUUGUGUAUGCUUUAUAGUCAGAGAGAUUGGAGCUUAUCAGGUAUCAUCUGGGAGAAAUUACUACUUAAUCUCUCCAAGCCUGUUUUGUCAUCUCUUAAGAGCGAUCUUGCUAGGAUGAAAGACAGUCCACAUAAAGCAACUACCACAGCAUUUGACAAAAUACAGAUGCUCAGAACAUGGAGGCCUCUAAGUGGGUAAAGCGGAAUCACUAGAAGGCUAAGGAUCUACAGCACUUCAUCGCUACUCCUCCCAGAUGUGUUUCUUUUCAUUAUGUUGUAAUACUAUGGCUUGAUUUGUAUUGAAGGUCCCUACUUUAAAAAAGCCACAUGGAUUCCAAGUUACUCAGUGCUCCAGCGGUGAGAGAUUUUCCUCCAAGUUUGAGAGUAGGGAAAAUUUUUCCAGCAUGAGAGACUGGGAUAUACAAAUCUUCACCACAUACAACGACAGUUAUGUAACGUCACCUGACUCCUGCUUCUCAGUGGCUUCCAAGGCAGAGAGCCUGGCUCUGUGUUCAGUCACGGCAACGGAGUUGACCCACUCUUUUGACAGGUCUGCUGUCCUCCCCCAAUCCAAUUUUCUCCUUUUAUGAUCUGAUUUUAUUGUUAUGGCCUGGGCAUUUUAUUAUAAACCACUCUUUUAGAAAAUGUUAGGCUAAACAAGAAUCGAUCUCCAAGAUUCUGAACUCUUGAAUUCUCUCCCUGGCCAAAAUCUCCUGAUCUCUAAUCCUUCCCAUAAUUUCUCUCACCAUAAAUCUGAUCUUCAGUUUUAUGACCUUCAAAUUUCAAUCUCUCCUAAUAGUCCGUGUCCAUAACUCACCUUCAUGUUUCCUUUCUAAACGUUUGCAGUUUGAACCCUAUCUUCAGCUGUCACACCAUGAGUUGACCACCAACACUAAAUACCAGUUGCUGUAACCGAAAGUUCGGUCUCUGAACCCGAUGCCAAUCCAAAUAACGAGAAUAGAGUCUUGAGUGGAAGAGGAAAGGUUUUUACCAUGCCAGGCACAGGGAGCAAAGCAAGGGCUCAUGCCUCAAAAAUUGCUAGCUCCCUGAUGAGGAAUGGGUAGGGAUUUUUAUUUGGGAAGCCUCCACUCCUUGAUAUUCCUGAGACAGUGGCUUUCCUGGCAAACUUCAAGGACAUAUGAUUAGCUAAACUUUAGUGUGCCUCCAACUCCAGGCCACCUGGGCUUUUAACAAUUUGUAACUCCCAUUUAGUUGUAAAGCUCAAGGAGUCCAAGUUUAAAGAAACAGGUAUUUACAUAUGAGUGGAGUUAGAGAAGCAGGAAAGCGGGAGGUGGGUUUUAGUUUUAACCCCAUAUACGCUGGGUUCAGUGUGGGGGAACUGAUAUCAGGGCUGAUGUUAAGAGCCUGUAACAUUACCAUAUAUUUAGUACUUACUAUGUAAUGGAAUUAUGUUAAAUGAUUUACAACAGGGGUUUACAAAGUGUGGUUCUCCAGACCAGCAGCAUCAACUUUGCUGGGAAACUUAUGAGAAACUCCAUUUCUGAGACCCAUCCAAGAUAUUGUAAAUCAGUAACUCUAGGGGGGUGGGGCCCACCAAUCUGUGUUUUCACAAGUGCCCCAGGUGAUUCUGAUGAAUGUUCUAGUUUGAAAACCACUGCUUUACCAAUAUUAUCUUAUUUUAUCAUAAAAGCCUAAGACUUAAGGGUAAAUAGUCUUAUCCCAGCUUUAUAGAUGAGGAAAUUAAGGCUCAGAUGUUCAGUAAAUUGUGCAAGGUCUCACAGAUUGCAAAUGGCAACGUGGCAAACCAACCCCAGGUCUGAAAGAU
This is a long non-coding RNA of Equus asinus (donkey), 2276 nucleotides long. Lineage: Eukaryota; Metazoa; Chordata; Mammalia; Perissodactyla; Equidae. The record is from Ensembl.